This 67-nucleotide transfer RNA is filed under the name Bavayia septuiclavis. Its description in RNAcentral is "tRNA-Cys". Lineage: Eukaryota; Metazoa; Chordata; Lepidosauria; Squamata; Diplodactylidae. The record is from RNAcentral.
AGCCCCGUAGUGAGUGACACGUCAAAUUGCAAAUUUGAAACAGCCCCAUAUUUUGGUGCCGGGGCUU